Molecule: ribosomal RNA, 460 nt
Filed under: uncultured bacterium
Lineage: Bacteria
Description: partial 16S ribosomal RNA
Rfam family: Bacterial small subunit ribosomal RNA
Source: RNAcentral
CCUACGGGCGGCAGCAGUGAGGAAUAUUGGUCAAUGGACGCAAGUCUGAACCAGCCAUGCCGCGUGCAGGAAGACGGCUCUAUGAGUUGUAAACUGCUUUUGUACGAGGGUAAAUCCCGAUACGUGUAUCGGGUUGAAAGUAUCGUACGAAUAAGGAUCGGCUAACUCCGUGCCAGCAGCCGCGGUAAUACGGAGGAUUCAAGCGUUAUCCGGAUUUAUUGGGUUUAAAGGGUGCGUAGGCGGUUCGAUAAGUUAGAGAUGAAAUCCCGGGGCUCAACUCCGGCACUGCCUCUGAUACUGUCGGGCUAGAGUUUAGUUGCGGUAGGCGGAAUGUAUGGUGUAGCGGUGAAAUGCUUAGAUAUUGCGCAGAACUCCGAUUGCGAAGGCAGCAUACCGGCGGCGAUCUGACGCUGAGGCACGAAAGCGUGGGUAUCGAACAGGAUUAGAUACCCCAGUAGUC